This 440-nucleotide ribosomal RNA is filed under the name uncultured bacterium. RNAcentral describes it as "partial 16S ribosomal RNA". It matches the Rfam family "Bacterial small subunit ribosomal RNA", at positions 338 to 795 of the family's 1533-position model. The record is from RNAcentral.
CCUACGGGAGGCAGCAGUGGGGGAUAUUGCACAAUGGGGGAAACCCUGAUGCAGCGACGCCGCGUGGGUGAAGAAGCGCCUCGGCGCGUAAAGCCCUGUCAGCAGGGAAGAAAAUGACGGUACCUGAAGCAAAAGCCCCGGCUAACUACGUGCCAGCAUCCGCGGGAAUACGUAGGGGACACGCGUUAUCCGGGUUUACUGGGUGUAAAGGGGGCGCAGACGGCGAUGCAAGCCAGGAGUGAAAGCCCGGGGGCCCACCCCGGGACUGCCCUUGGAACUGCGUGGCUAGAGUGCAGGAGGGGCAGGCGGAAUGCCUGGUGUAGCGGUGAAAUGCGUAGAUAUCAGGAGGAACACCGGUGGCGAAGGCAGCCUGCUGGACUGAAACUGACGUUGAGGCCCGAAAGCGUGGGGAGCAAACAGGAUUAGAUACCCCUGUAGUC